GAUGAACGCUGACAGAAUGCUUAACACAUGCAAGUCGAUGGGGAAGUGGUGCUUGCACCCUGGUAACCACGGCGGACGGGUGAGUAACGCGUAAGGAACUUGCCUGCGGGACUGGGAUAACAGCAGGAAACUGCUGAUAAUACCGGAUAAGGUCAUUAAGCUGCAUAGCUUAGUGAUGAAAGGGGACGCCUGCGGAGAGCCUUGCGUCCUAUUAGCUAGUUGGAGGGGUAACGGCCCACCAAGGCGAAGAUAGGUAGCCGGCCUGAGAGGGUGGACGGCCACAAGGGGACUGAGAUACGGCACUUACGCCUACGGGAGGCAGCAGUGGGGAAUAUUGGACAAUGGGGGCAACCCUGAUCCAGCAAUUCUGUGUGCACGAAGACGGUUUUCGGAUUGUAAAGUGCUUUCAGCAGGGAAGAAGGAAGUGACGGUACCUGCAGAAGAAGCGACGGCUAAAUACGUG
RNAcentral lists this ribosomal RNA (463 nucleotides) under uncultured bacterium. RNAcentral's name for it is "partial 16S ribosomal RNA". It matches the Rfam family "Bacterial small subunit ribosomal RNA", at positions 28 to 507 of the family's 1533-position model. The record is from RNAcentral.